Long non-coding RNA from Carassius gibelio (silver crucian carp), 1259 nucleotides. RefSeq lists it as uncharacterized. The record is from RefSeq and is a predicted model, not a curated record. NCBI's taxonomy places the organism in Eukaryota, Metazoa, Chordata, Actinopteri, Cypriniformes, Cyprinidae. The transcript is spliced from 6 exons.
AUGGAGAGAUAUGGGAUUUCUUUCUUUUGCUUUUGUUUGACCAAAACAGUUUGUCAUAGGGAGCAUUUGGUCAUUUGCUGGUCCAUUAUCCCUCAGUCCUGCAUGAUCCUUCAUUAUUUAUUUUUUUAUAAACAUUAAUUGUUGCAUGAUCUGACGGACUAAGUUAAUUUGAUGCUACAAGGCUAUCUCUGUGUGUGUGUGUGUGUGUGUGUGUGUGUGUCUUUGUGUCAGUUUGAAAUUGCUGCAAAUGUACUGUGCCCACAGCUCACUGGCUCUGCUUCGGUGACAUCACUGAAGGUGAGACUGCUUCCCCCCCCACUGUUACUGUAUCAACUGAGUGGAGGUGACAGUGAAAUCAAAGCUGUCCUUUGGGAUUUUUCAUCAAAGUUUCACAUCUGACCCGGACCCUCACUUACUUCGAGUCCUUUUGCAAUGGCUGAACAAGCUGAGAGGAGAAAAGCUGACCGGCGCUUCACUGCUUGGUUUGCCACAGACCGCAGGAGAACCUACCUGUCCACCUGGCGAGAAACAGCACGCCGGAACAAAUAGCCUCAGAGGUUCAAAAGACGGAGUCCAGCAAGCACUGGAUGCUUAGAGCUAGGACGUGGGACCACAGCCACAUUUGUGCCCUCCAUUUGUGCAGAACCUCGCAGGAGAACUUCUGAACCGUGGCUUCUUCGUGACAGACCUGCCCCUAGGAGCCCGGAGCCGGAGGUUUGGCGGAGGAGGCUGAUGACCUGUCCUGUCUUCAUGAAAAAUAAGUGUACUCUGACCGUGCAACACACGUGCGAAACACAAAAAGCACCACGAGAGGAUCCACGCUACCUGAAAGAAGGCUGCCUUCUGAAUCCAACGAUACCAGUUAUGUGCACAUCGGACCUACGCUUCAAAAGAUACGGACAGAUCCACGCUACCUGAAAGAAGGCCGCCUUCUGAAUCCAACGAUACCGGUUAUGUGCACAUCGGACCUACGCUUCAAAAGAUACGGACAGAUCCACGCUACCUGAAAGAAGGCCGCCUUCUGAAUCCAACGAUACCAGUUAUGUGCACAUCGGACCUACGCUUCAAAAGAUACGGACAGAUCCACGCUACCUGAAAGAAGGCCGCCUUCUGAAUCCAACGAUACCAGUUAUGUGCACAUCGGACCUACGCUUCAAAAGAUACGGACAGGUAAGCUUUGGCCAAUCAGAUCGCAUAUGCUAACGAGGGUGGAAUUAAUGAGGGUGAAACUCGUUUUUAUCUAUAUACCUAACCCUAAC